Molecule: long non-coding RNA, 739 nt
Organism: Microtus oregoni (creeping vole)
Lineage: Eukaryota; Metazoa; Chordata; Mammalia; Rodentia; Cricetidae
Exons: 5
Source: RefSeq, a predicted model, not a curated record
CAGGCUGGCGAAGUACCUGAGGCGCCUUCUCAAGUUCUAAGUCUCAACCCUUGUGGGGCGGUGAAAGACCCUUUAAGAGGGGAAGCCUAGGACCACCUGCCUGUCGGGUGUUUGCAAUGAGAGUCACAGCAGUGAGAAAAUGACAGGGACGCAAACAGAACGUUGUUCCUGGAGAACCAUCAGGCCAGCGAGGAUGCAAGGCACCACGUCAGCCUGGUAGCUGAAGAAACACACACUUCGUCUUGGUUCCAACAGGCAGAUGACCCUUUGAGGUUCCUCCAUACCGAAGAUCGGUCUAGAAGCCAAGGAUACUGCUAUAAAUAAAACAGAAGGGGCUCUCAGGAGGAUGUCCCUUGCGGGAGAGAAACACAUGAGACAAGUAAGGACAAGACAGCUGCUCUCCAGAAAAUGUGCUUCAGAGAGAAAACAGAAGUGCCCGUGGCCUUGCCAGCACUAGAGGCAGGAGGAGAGAGUAAGGAUGUGGAGAGGAGAGGAAGUGACAGUUUGGAGCAUUGUGGAUGUCUGUCUAGUGAGGCUAAGGUUAACAGCCUAAACGAUGUUCAGAUCUGAAGACGAAACCAAAACCUCUCCCUCUUUCGAAGAAGGCAGAGAGAGCUCCGUCCCCACAACCUCAUCACCUAGAAAACCCAGUUGCCCCACCCCCAGGCAGAGCUACGAAUGUUCGUGGUUUCGUUCAACAUAGCCGUUGGGCACAUGUAGCUGGGGUCACACACAACGC